Xiphophorus maculatus (southern platyfish) is the source of this 800-nucleotide non-coding RNA. NCBI's taxonomy places the organism in Eukaryota, Metazoa, Chordata, Actinopteri, Cyprinodontiformes, Poeciliidae. The record is from the annotation of a RefSeq genome assembly.
AAGUGUCAGGAAAAGAAUUAAGUACUAUCAAGACUACCAUGCAUCCAAAAAGCUAUAUAUAAGGCUUUACAAAAUAAUCUGAAAUAAAUUUUACAUUUUUCAUUAUUAUUGAACAAAACAACAUGCUAAUGAAUGAACUUCUAUGUGCAUUUACAAAGUGCAUUUACUGUUGACACUGUUAGUUAUAUUUAAAUGAACGAAAAAUCAUUACACUGAACCAAAGUCUCUGUUGGAGUCAUUCUGAAAAUUUUGAGCCACUUUGCAUCAGCAGCUCCAUGCUCCAGUGCUCUGGGAGAGUUUAUAUUCCUGACAGUUGAACACUGGAUGACUGACAGCUGUCCUUCAUCACAACAGAAGACACAGAAAUCCUCCUCAUCACAAACAUGACUUUGAUCUGCGUCCUCAUCUGGACUCUCCUCUGCUGCUGCUUCACAGAGGUCAGAGGUCAGAUCACAGUAACUCAGCCUGCCGCAGUGAGAGCUGAUCUUGGAGGAUCUGCUACCAUCAACUGUAGAACCAGUCAGAAUGUUUAUAGCUCUAACUGCUUAGCCUGGUACCAACAGAAAGAUGGACAAACUCCUAAGCUCCUCAUUUAUUAUAUCAGCACUCGAGCAUCAGGGACUCCAAGUCGUUUUACAGGCAGUGGAUCAAACUCUGACUUCACUCUGACCAUCAGUGGAGUUCAGGCUGAAGAUGCUGCAGUUUACUACUGUCAGAGUUUUCAUUACCCCAACAGCCAGUAUGUGUUCACACAGUGAAAAACAGUCGUACAAAAACCUCCCUCAGUCAGUAUGAACAGA